RNAcentral lists this ribosomal RNA (433 nucleotides) under uncultured bacterium. Its description in RNAcentral is "partial 16S ribosomal RNA". It matches the Rfam family "Bacterial small subunit ribosomal RNA", at positions 29 to 507 of the family's 1533-position model. The record is from RNAcentral.
AACGAACGCUGGCGGCAUGCCUAACACAUGCAAGUCGAACGAGACCUUCGGGUCUAGUGGCGCACGGGUGCGUAACGCGUGGGAACCUGCCCUUAGGUUCGGAAUAACUCCCCGAAAGGGGUGCUAAUACCGGAUAAUGUCUUCGGACCAAAGAUUUAUCGCCUUUGGAUGGGCCCGCGUUGGAUUAGCUAGUUGGUAGGGUAAAAGCCUGCCAAGGCGACGAUCCAUAGCUGGUCUGAGAGGAUGAUCAGCCACACUGGGACUGAGACACGGCCCAGACUCCUACGGGAGGCAGUAGUGGGGAAUAUUGGACGAUGGGCGAAAGCCUGAUCCAGCAAUGCCGGGUGAGUGAUGAAGGCCUUAGGGUUGUAAAGCUCUUUUACCCGGGAUGAUAAUGACAGUACCGGGAGAAUAAGCUCCGGCUAACUCCGUG